GCUCCCGUAGCUCAGGGGAUAGAGCGUCGGUUUCCUAAACCGUGCGUCGCAGGUUCGAAUCCUGCCGGGGGCGCCA
Molecule: transfer RNA, 76 nt
Filed under: Acidobacteriota bacterium
Lineage: Bacteria; Pseudomonadati; Acidobacteriota
Also listed under: 2 other names
Description: Acidobacteria bacterium tRNA-Arg
Rfam family: tRNA
About the family: Transfer RNA (tRNA) molecules are approximately 80 nucleotides in length. Their secondary structure includes four short double-helical elements and three loops (D, anti-codon, and T loops).
Source: RNAcentral